This 420-nucleotide ribosomal RNA is filed under the name uncultured bacterium. RNAcentral's name for it is "bacterial SSU rRNA". It matches the Rfam family "Bacterial small subunit ribosomal RNA", at positions 9 to 428 of the family's 1533-position model. The record is from RNAcentral.
GAGUUUGAUCAUGGCUCAGGAUGAACGCUGGCGGCGUGCUUAACACAUGCAAGUCGAACGGUGAAAGAGGAGCUUGCUCCUCUGGAUCAGUGGCGAACGGGUGAGUAACACGUGAGUAACCUGCCCCAGACUCUGGGAUAAGCACUGGAAACGGUGUCUAAUACCGGAUACGAGCUUCAGCCGCAUGGCUAGGAGCUGGAAAGAAUUUCGGUCUGGGAUGGACUCGCGGCCUAUCAGCUAGUUGGUGAGGUAACGGCCCACCAAGGCGACGACGGGUAGCCGGCCUGAGAGGGUGACCGGCCACACCUGGGACUGAGACACGGCCCAGACUCCUACGGGAGGCAGCAGUGGGGAAUAUUGCACAAUGGGCGCAAGCCUGAUGCAGCAACGCCGCGUGAGGGACGACGGCCUCGGUUGUAA